GGCUUCGUAGCUCAGCUGGUAGAGCGUUCGCCGCGUUGAGGCAUGCCGUGUCUGUCGCUGGCUCGAAUCCAGCCGAAGCCC
Molecule: transfer RNA, 81 nt
Filed under: Paragonimus westermani
Lineage: Eukaryota; Metazoa; Platyhelminthes; Trematoda; Plagiorchiida; Troglotrematidae
Description: tRNA-Asn
Rfam family: tRNA
About the family: Transfer RNA (tRNA) molecules are approximately 80 nucleotides in length. Their secondary structure includes four short double-helical elements and three loops (D, anti-codon, and T loops).
Source: RNAcentral